Long non-coding RNA from Lolium rigidum, 1226 nucleotides. RefSeq lists it as uncharacterized. The transcript is spliced from 3 exons. The record is from RefSeq and is a predicted model, not a curated record. NCBI's taxonomy places the organism in Eukaryota, Viridiplantae, Streptophyta, Magnoliopsida, Poales, Poaceae.
CUGCAGAACAUGCGCGAGAAAAAUAAUCCAGGAAAAAGAAGUGCUUAACAUUGUUCUAACAGCAACUCAGCCAAUUUUACAAUACCUGGCUGGCCCAUCAGAUCCCAAGCAAUUCCCCUUCAUUUUAGCCGGGAACAAGGUUCAUGUAGACACUGGAAGCAGGCGAGUGGAAAAAAUGAAAGAGAAAAGAGAAUAGGCAAUUAUGACAGAAGCACGGACAUCUUGAAUCAAUGCAUAAGGCAGGUUGUAUCACUUUUCUUGAUCUGGUUGAUGGUUAGUAUUCUCUUGUUAGAAGUCGCAUCUUUGAUGUCGGGGCCUGGGAUUUUUUUUUAGUAUGCUAAUGGUCAGCCUGGAAGUCCGUGACAUGUUUUCAACGACUGUGGUAGACCAGUUAUUAAGUUGCAUACUUUCUUCCUUGGUUUCUAUUUUAGUUCUCAGAUGUCCUCAAUAUUGCUUUGCUUCGCCAUAUCGGCUCACACUCUUGAUGAUCGAAAGCUAUUAUUUCAAAACUAUGCUCUAUCUUCAAAAGUUCAGAUGUUUGUUUAUGCUUUCUGUUUCUUCUGUUUUGGCAGGAAGCUAUUUUAAUCGUUUCUUUUGCAACAACAAUUUAAAAACUUUGUUCUUUAUAAAAUUGACCAGGAUUUGUAAACCAAUACAUUAUUAACAGUAGUUGGUGAGACCUGAAAUGUAGUAUACCUAAUUCCGCUCUGAAGAUAAAUAUUUUAAGUCACUUAUUGCACUCUCUUACCUGUUUCCAACAAAUUGCGAAGAUGGUGAACUCAUUAGUAUAUUUUACUUUAGUGAAUAAAUUCAUAAUUGUUUCCCAUCUUUGGAUUUUUCCUUCAAAAAUUCAGAUAGUUUGGUUAUGCUUAUCUUGGUCAGACAAAUAUUAGUCCUCUUUUUUCCGGAAUACAAAUAAAAAGCAUUCAUGAAGGGAGCAAGCUUUACAAAACAACAGUGUUACUGUUAGUUCAUGGGCCAUGUAGCAGAGCAUAGCUUACCCAUUUCAAAUGUAGGUAUUUUGAAAGCAUCUACGGGUUUGGAAAAAUAGCAGGGCUUGUGAACUCGCUAUUAUCAGUUCAGGCUGCUGGCUCAAGAUUCAGAAUUGUUUCUCUUUUAUGUGCUUUGCCUUCAAAAGUGUGGAUACCUUAUUAUGUUUUCAGUUCCUUCUUUGGUUUUUACAGUUCAUUUUGAAGCUAAAAUGUUUGUUGCUUUCGUUUCCAAAA